RNAcentral lists this ribosomal RNA (434 nucleotides) under Heterosigma akashiwo. RNAcentral's name for it is "partial Eukaryotic large subunit ribosomal RNA". It matches the Rfam family "Eukaryotic large subunit ribosomal RNA", at positions 1 to 437 of the family's 3401-position model. The record is from RNAcentral. Lineage: Eukaryota; Raphidophyceae; Chattonellales; Chattonellaceae.
GUCUCAAAUCAGGUAGGAUCACCCGCUGAACUUAAGCAUAUCAAUAAGCGGAGGAAAAGAAACCAACAGGGAUUGCCCUAGUAACGGCGAGUGAAGCGGGAAGAGCUCAUGUUGUAAAUCUCCAGCUUGCUGGCGAAUUGUAGUCUAAAGGUGCGUGCUCAGUCGUGGUCCCGGGCUAAGUCUGUUGGAAAACAGCAUCAUGGACGGUGACAAUCCGGUUCUUGCCUGGGGUCCCGCGGCGUACGAGCCGUUUCCGACGAGUCGUGUUGCUUGGGAUUGCAGCACUAAGUGGGUGGUAAAUUCCAUCUAAAGCUAAAUAUUGGCGAGAGACCGAUAGCGCACAAGUAGAGUGAUCGAAAGAUGAAAAGCACUUUGGAAAGAGAGUUAAAAAGCACGUGAAAUUGUUGAAAGGGAAGCGCUUGCAAUCAGACUUG